This is a non-coding RNA of Phascolarctos cinereus (koala), 1240 nucleotides long. The record is from RefSeq and is a predicted model, not a curated record. NCBI's taxonomy places the organism in Eukaryota, Metazoa, Chordata, Mammalia, Diprotodontia, Phascolarctidae.
UCUUGACCCCAGAGGACUGAGGAGGAAACAUGCCUUUCUUGUCUUGGAAGAGAAGCUCUGAACCAGAGGUGUGAAAUAAGGUCAGGAGACCAAGGCAAACACCCACCAACUGUGAAAGACAGAGCAUCUGAGGUGAUGUGGAAACCUCCCCUGUCUUGGUGUCUUCUGACGGCAGCCAGCGAUUCAAGUCCCAGCAACCUCUCCAUUGCUUUUCAGAAGGCCACCAAGGAACAUCAUCCCCGAGUAACCAGUUAACCAGCCAAUCCAGUGACUGAGAGACGUGAAAGACUUCAGUUGAUCAUGGUAUGAUGGGCAAAACGAAUAUAGUAGAUUGACCCGUCCAGCUGAGCUGCCACUCUUUAGAUGAGCCCAACAGCCAAGUGAUCUACCUAGCAGUCCAAAUGGCAAAGUGGACUGUCCAGCCCAGUCUACCAUUAGUUAUCCAUGAGUCAAGUGACCUGCCUGAUCUAGGCCAUCAACAGCUAAGCCCAGAGAAGAGUCUUCUCAGCAGCCAGAUGAUCUGCUUGACCCAUCCUAGCAAUGGAUUGACUCAUCGAGAUAGAUACUGUGUAAUGCAAUUUUAUUAUCUCCUCAUCCAGAAGAGAAACCAGCCCAGCUUAGCAGUAGAAGGACUCAUUCAUCCUUGAUAUCAUACCCAAAGCAAGCUUCAAGAGGACCCUUAGGAGAAAGGAAGGGACAAUGAAGGCCUUGAGUUCCAGAGGGAUGAGUUUCCUUGGCCACCUAUGUUCCUUACAUGUGUGCCUCAUGUUGUACUUUCUUAUUCUACUACCACCUCCCUGGACUCUGCAUAUAUUUAUGGAAGAUUGUGUCCCAGAUUUGGAGGUGAACAUUUUAUAACUACUGAUCUUGUUGGAAUAUUUCAUUAAAUGUCUUUGCCACAGAGAUAAGUCUACUGGCUUAUUAUUAAGAGGAAGCACAACAGUGGAGGCUCAUGUGCUGUCAUAUUACCCAUAAGGUUACUCGGAGGGUUACCCUUGGAGUGCCCCUCUGAGGACUCAACCUGACAGUGCCCAUGUGAAUUGGGGGAGUGAGGCCAGAGGGGGUGUUGUAUUUGUAUUCCUCAUGCAUAGCAUAGUGCCUGGAAAAUUGUAAUUGCUUAAUAAGUGCUUCUUGAUUGAUUCAUUAACCCAGAACAAUUAAUGUAACCUCUCUAGGUCUCAGUUUUCUCAAAUAUAAAAUGCAAGGUUUGAAUUAAAUUACCUCAAAGGUGCCUUUCAUU